CUUCGGUACAUCGGUGACAGGUGGUGCAUGGUUGUCGUCAGCUCGUGUCGUGAGAUGCUGGGUUAAGUCCCGCAACGAGCGCAACCCCUAUUGUUAGUUGCCAUCAUUCAGUUGGGCACUCUAGCGAGACUGCCGGUAAUAAACCGGAGGAAGGUGGGGAUGACGUCAAAUCAUCAUGCCCCUUAUGACCUGGGCUACACACGUGCUACAAUGGUUGGUACAACGAGUUGCGAGUCGGUGACGGCGAGCUAAUCUCUUAAAGCCAAUCUCAGUUCGGAUUGUAGGCUGCAACUCGCCUACAUGAAGUCGGAAUCGCUAGUAAUCGCGGAUCAGCACGCCGCGGUGAAUACGUUCCCGGGCCUU
Molecule: ribosomal RNA, 363 nt
Filed under: uncultured Streptococcus sp.
Lineage: Bacteria; Bacillati; Bacillota; Bacilli; Lactobacillales; Streptococcaceae
Description: bacterial SSU rRNA
Rfam family: Bacterial small subunit ribosomal RNA
Source: RNAcentral